RNAcentral lists this ribosomal RNA (496 nucleotides) under uncultured bacterium. Its description in RNAcentral is "partial 16S ribosomal RNA". It matches the Rfam family "Bacterial small subunit ribosomal RNA", at positions 28 to 506 of the family's 1533-position model. The record is from RNAcentral.
GAUGAACGCUGGCGGCGUGCCUAAUACAUGCAAGUCGAACGAACAGGCGAGAAGCUUGCUUUUCUUAUGUUAGUUGCGGACGGGUGAGUAACACGUGGAUAACCUACCUAUUAGACUGGGAUAACUUCUGGAAACCGUAGCUAAUACCGGAUAAUAUUUUGAACCGCAUGUUUUUAAAGUGAAAGACGGUCUUGCUGUCAUUUAUAGAUGGAUUCGUGCUGCAUUAGCUAGGUGGUAAGGUAACGGUUUACAAAGGCAACGAUGCAUAGCCGACCUGAGAGGGUGAUGGGACACAGUGGAAGUGAGACACGGUACAGACUCAUACGGGAGGCAACAGGAGGGAAUCUUCCGAAAGGGGCGAAAGCCUGACGGAGAAACGCCGCGUGAGUGAUGAAGGUCUUCGGAGCGUAAAACUCUGUUAUGAGGGAAGAACAUAUGUGUAAGUAAAUGUGAAAAUCUUGACGGUACCUAAUAAGAAAGCAACGGCUAACUACGU